UUUACGGAGCCCCAGAAUCAGAAUCAGAAUCAGAAAAACAGAAAGAGAAACAGGAGCCCCGCCUCGGCCAAAGUUGAACCUGCCAUCGUCAGUUUAGCACGUGCGCCAAUUAGGCGCUCAAAUUACAUCAAAAUAUUGCCAGCAAAGAGUGGCUUGGGGGGGCCAAAUGAGCAGUCUAAGGCCCAUGGCCCCAUUCCCCAUGCCCCAUCCACGAAUGCCCCCUUUUCGAACUGAACUGUUCGAAGGCAGACGCUUACAAGCCAUUACGUAAGGCGCGCCGUCUCUUUCCACGCAAGCUCCGUCUCUUUCUCUUUCUGUUUCUGUUUCUUUCGUCCGUGUUGUGAUAAACUUAUUCUUGUUAAAUAUUUAAUUAAAAUGCUUAUUAUCUCGCACUGCAUUUUAAUGAGUCUCCCAUGCCAGGGCAACGAAACGAGACAGCCAAAGACAACAAACCAGCUCACAGAUUUUGGGCUGUGGUGGCCCCCCUUUCAAUCCGCUCCCUGCAACCCCCUGCCACACCCUGCCACGCCCUGCAACCCCGCGCAACCCCCUUGCAACACCGCCUGUGUGCACGUUUAUGUUUAUUUGAGUUUUGCCACUUGGCAGCAACGCUUAACGACGCCUCGUCUCCUCGCUGCGAAACUCACAACUUCUUUCAGCCCGGCCCAGACACAUGCUCGUAUUUGUCUUGCUCUUUUAAGCCCUCCACUGCUGCCACCACCCACCAUCGACCACCCACCAUUCACCGCCCAGAAACCGACGUAAGCCGCCCAAUCUGCACCACCACCCCACUCCCCACUCAAUCCGAGCCCAACUAGAACCGCAAGCACAGACAUGUGGCCCAGAAACCAGGAGCACCAGCCCAGCACCAGGCCCAGUUAACAUGGCCAGGUCCAAAUGGUCAGCUGGCGUGGGGUUAAACAACCCAUCUGGCAUACAAAUAUGCUUCGAAUUUGGGAGUGUUAUGGUCAAUGAUGGAAAAGAAGCAUAGCAAUGAUUAGUAAAUAUGAUUUAUUAAUAAAUAA
Molecule: small RNA, 1025 nt
Filed under: Drosophila yakuba
Lineage: Eukaryota; Metazoa; Arthropoda; Insecta; Diptera; Drosophilidae
Description: GE29114
Source: RNAcentral